UGGGGAAUUUUGGACAAUGGGCGAAAGCCUGAUCCAGCAAUGCCGCGUGUGUGAAGAAGGCCUUCGGGUUGUAAAGCACUUUUGUCCGGAAAGAAAUCCUUGGCUCUAAUACAGUCGGGGGAUGACGGUACCGGAAGAAUAAGCACCGGCUAACUACGUGCCAGCAGCCGCGGUAAUACGUAGGGUGCAAGCGUUAAUCGGAAUUACUGGGCGUAAAGCGUGCGCAGGCGGUUUGCUAAGACCGAUGUGAAAUCCCCGGGCUCAACCUGGGAACUGCAUUGGUGACUGGCAGGCUAGAGUAUGGCAGAGGGGGGUAGAAUUCCACGUGUAGCAGUGAAAUGCGUAGAGAUGUGGAGGAAUACCGAUGGCGAAGGCAGCCCCCUGGGCCAAUACUGACGCUCAUGCACGAAAGCGUGGGGAGCAAACAGGAUUAGAUACCCUGGUAGUCCACGCCCUAAACGAUGUCAACUAGUUGUUGGGGGAUUCAUUUCCUUAGUAACGUAGCUAACGCGUGAAGUUGACCGCCUGGGGAGUACGGUCGCAAGAUUAAAACUUAAAGGAAUUGGC
This 567-nucleotide ribosomal RNA is filed under the name uncultured bacterium. Its description in RNAcentral is "partial 16S ribosomal RNA". It matches the Rfam family "Bacterial small subunit ribosomal RNA", at positions 355 to 914 of the family's 1533-position model. The record is from RNAcentral.